GUCGAGCAAGAAACCUCAAGAUAUUCUACUACUCCUACCAUAGGCCAGGAAAUGGUGAUUGAUACGAAUUACAGCGAUAUAUACAGCAAUAUGGCAGGUUCUCUCACAAAGCUCUACUACUUUCUCCAGCAAUCACAGCUUCAAAGCCUAAGAAAAUGUAUAGGAGGUAACAAGCUCAUGUUAUUAUCUAUAUAGCAGCAAGAAACCUCAAGAUAUUCUACUACUCCUACCAUAGGCCAGGAAAUGGUGAUUGAUACGAAUUACAGCGAUAUAUACAGCAAUAUGGCAGGUUCUCUCACAAAGCUCUACUACUUUCUCCAGCAAUCACAGCUUCAAAGCCUAAGAAAAUGUAUAGGAGGUAACAAGCUCAUGUUAUUAUCUAUAUAGCAGCACCAGAAAUAUCAGACUUCCAAAAAUCAUCUAAACCUCUCUAGUGCAU
Molecule: long non-coding RNA, 439 nt
Filed under: Populus tremula
Lineage: Eukaryota; Viridiplantae; Streptophyta; Magnoliopsida; Malpighiales; Salicaceae
Description: long non-coding RNA (PTRE_LNC002440)
Source: RNAcentral